Molecule: ribosomal RNA, 392 nt
Filed under: uncultured bacterium
Lineage: Bacteria
Description: bacterial SSU rRNA
Rfam family: Bacterial small subunit ribosomal RNA
Source: RNAcentral
AUUGAACGCUGGCGGCAGGCCUAACACAUGCAAGUCGAACGGUAACAGGAAGCAGCUUGCUGUUUUGCUGACGAGUGGCGGACGGGUGAGUAAUGUCUGGGAAACUGCCUGAUGGAGGGGGAUAACUACUGGAAACGGUAGCUAAUACCGCAUAACGUCGCAAGACCAAAGAGGGGGACCUUAGGGCCUCUUGCCAUCGGAUGUGCCCAGAUGGGAUUAGCUAGUAGGUGGGGUAACGGCUCACCUAGGCGACGAUCCCUAGCUGGUCUGAGAGGAUGACCAGCCACACUGGAACUGAGACACGGUCCAGACUCCUACGGGAGGCAGCAGUGGGGAAUAUUGCACAAUGGGCGCAAGCCUGAUGCAGCCAUGCCGCGUGUAUGAAGAAGGCC